Ornithorhynchus anatinus (platypus) is the source of this 1220-nucleotide long non-coding RNA. RefSeq lists it as uncharacterized. NCBI's taxonomy places the organism in Eukaryota, Metazoa, Chordata, Mammalia, Monotremata, Ornithorhynchidae. The record is from RefSeq and is a predicted model, not a curated record. The transcript is spliced from 2 exons.
CAAUGAGGUGGGCUCACACCCCCAUUGGAGUCUGAGCUCACAAUCAUCUUUGUCCUGGAUAUAACUGAAUACAGGAAGAGUGAUUUUUUUUUCCCUAUCCCCCAGUAAGUUGCCUUAGCUGUCGGUCUGCCAAACCUCUUUCCCCAAUCUGUAGUCUGACUCCUUUUUUCACAUCUUUUUAUGGAAAAUUUCAAAACCGCGUUUCUAACAGUUUGGUUCGUAUGGGGAACCGGCCUCUCCAUGCUUUUAACACUGUGGAGACACAUUCGUGUCAAUAUGUUUGCAAUCUGCCGUGUUUCCCCAGCACUCCAAAUGUUUGGCAACGCAGCCUGAGGAAGAACAGGUGGAAAAAGUUUGCCUUGAAUUUCCCCUACAGCAGAGCCACCAUUUUUUUCUUCAUUUCUGCCCCCCAAACCAGAUUGCCUUUCUCUUUGGCUCCCUGAAUCAGACAUCACCUGCAAGUCACCGUCGGCAAACUCGGGAUCUUCCCCUGUGGAUAGCGAGUGCCAGUGAGCGAUUGGCUUCCGAGGGUAGGACAGCAUCUCGCUCCAGUGGUCCCGGCCCAACCUCUCCGCAUCGUUGCCUACUUGACACACGCCGAUGACUUCGUUGUGACCUACACUGUGAAAACGGCCCACCAUAUUGCUUUGUCUUAAAAUUUGUGACAUUCAAGAACAACCGGCACUUCUGUUCUCCACCGUAGAUGGCCCCCUGGUCCCCUGAUCCAGAGAGAUCAACACUGGACCCCUUGCUACUUCCUCUUCCUCUCUCUCCUCCUCACCUUCUGACUCCCAACCCCGUGCUCCAUCAGCUAGCCACGCUGCUUCUCUAGAAGAACGCUGAGAAUCACUGCCGGAACAUGUGGGCUUCCUGGUUCAGCUGGGCAUUUUCUGCCCUGUCUUUCUCAACCAGCCUUCGCCUUUCCCGGCAGGACAUGUCCAGAGACCUCAUCCCUCCUGCUCUUUCCCUGCAGCUUUCCGGCAAUGGCACCAGUGUGCGGAGAUUCCAUUUACCUCAGACACAGACCGGCUCGGGCCUUGAGUCUUCCCCAGCCCAGACUUCUGACACUGGACCAGACAACCACGGUUUGGCGGGGAAGAGCGAGAUGCACUGCGAACCUCGGCACUUGCUCUGUCAAGCCGAUUGGCUGUGCUGAACAAGCCAGGGAAAUGUCACUUGAAAUGUUGAAUGGAAUAAAUUGGUCUGCAGUAACCAAUCAA